UUUGACAUGAAAUUUCCUAGUUUUCUUUUUCAGUAACAGAAAGAAAGCUAGCAGAGCUUUCUUUCUUGCUUUCCAAAAACCCCUUUUUGUGUUCUGUUUAUAAUAAUAAUAGUAAUAAUAAUUAUUAUUAUUAUAUAUAAGUUUGAGACCCCAUUUGAUUAUUUUGUUGUGUCUAUCAUUAUAUAUGGCUAUGUAUGUAUAUUUUGGCUCCAAAGUACAAAAUCUCACAAGUGACCUACUUAUCUUGAUCUUCUUCUUCAACUGUGUGCAAUUCUCUCAUUCAAAAGCUUUAUUUUCUCAGGAAAUGUGUACUCCAAUGCUGUUUGGAAUUAAUUGGUGUUGGAGUUGAUUCUUUUGCCACUGGAAAAUAUUGCAUGAAUAUAUAUUGAUCAGGAAAUGUGUACUCCAAUGCUGUUUGGAAUUAAUUUGGUGUUGGAGGUGAUUCUUUUGCCACUGGAAUAUUGCAUGAAUACAUAUUGAUCAGGAACUGUGCUUAAAAAUGGAGCUUGAAUCUUAUUAGGGAUAGCAGGAGGAAUAAGAGCAGAGGAAGAAGAAGCUUUAUUAAUAUUGCUGUGAUGAUCAUGAUGGUGCUGCUGAUGGUGAUGAUGAUGAUGAUCGAGUGUUUGGUUGAAGGGCUUGUGGGUUCUGGGAUCUAUGCCUUGAUUGAUCAGCUUCUUGCUCAGUACCGAUUGCCGAGAAGACGGUGGAGACGGAGAAUGAGAUCUUCCUCAUCGGGGGCGAUGUGUCCGCGCUUGACGGAGGGGCGGAGGUAGUUCAUCCACCGGAGACGGCAGCUCUUGCCGCAGCGCAGGAGCCCAGCUCGCUUGGGCAGCGUCCGCCACCGUCCUUCUCCUUCUUUCCUUAUGAACUUGGCCAAAACCUCGUCUUCCUCCGCCGUCCACGGCCCUCUCUUUAUCCCCACCUUGCUGCAACACGGCGUCGUUUUACCACUGCUGCCACUGCCAUUUGUUGACGAAGGUGAUUGCUUCCUCAUGGAUAUAUGAUGAUAUAACGAUGAUGAUGAUGAUGACGACGAUGGCUUCUUCUUGGUUUGGAUCCCAAUUUGUGUGUGGUUUUGCUUAUAGGUUAAGGUUUUUAUAUACAUAUAUAUAUAUGACACUAGUACAUAGUGUAGGGAUAAUAUUCUAGAGUCUUGUUAUUUGAGAUUUUAAGUACUCAAGAUUACAUGAGAUGAGAUGAUAUUUUAUUUAUGAAUAGUGAAUUAAAUUUGGAUUGGAUUA
Long non-coding RNA from Humulus lupulus (European hop), 1241 nucleotides. RefSeq lists it as uncharacterized. The transcript has 5 exons. Lineage: Eukaryota; Viridiplantae; Streptophyta; Magnoliopsida; Rosales; Cannabaceae. The record is from RefSeq and is a predicted model, not a curated record.